Non-coding RNA from Phrynosoma platyrhinos (Desert horned lizard), 73 nucleotides. NCBI's taxonomy places the organism in Eukaryota, Metazoa, Chordata, Lepidosauria, Squamata, Phrynosomatidae. The record is from the annotation of a GenBank genome assembly.
GCCAGUAUGGUGUAAGUGGUUUGAACACUAGACCACAACUCUGAAGAACAGGGUUAGACUCCCUGUUUGGCCA